This 429-nucleotide ribosomal RNA is filed under the name uncultured bacterium. RNAcentral describes it as "bacterial SSU rRNA". It matches the Rfam family "Bacterial small subunit ribosomal RNA", at positions 40 to 507 of the family's 1533-position model. The record is from RNAcentral.
CGGCAUGCUUAACACAUGCAAGCGUCACGGGCAGUAGCAAUACUGUCAGUGGCGGACGGGUGAGUAACGCUAGGAAUCUAUCCUUGAAUGGGGGACAACCGUGGGAAACUACGGCUAAUACCGCAUGAUGCCUGAGGGCCAAAAGACGAAAGUCGUUUGAGGAGGAGCCUGCGUCUGAUUAGGUAGUUGGUGGGGUAAAGGCCUACCAAGCCCUACGAUCAGUAGCUGGUCUGAGAGGGAUGAUCAGCCACAUUGGGACUGAGACACGGCCCAAACUCCUACGGGAGGCAGCAGUGGGGAAUAUUGGACAAUGGGCGCAAGCCUGAUCCAGCAAUGCCGCGUGGGUGAAGAAGGUCUUCGGAUUGUAAAGCCCUUUUGGCGGGGACGAUGAUGACGGUACCCGCAGAAUAAGCUCCGGCUAACUUCGUG